CAGCCGCACGGGAACACGGAGGGUGCAAGCGUUAAUCGGAAUUACUGGGCGUAAAGCGCACGCAGGCGGUCUGUCAAGUCAGAUGUGAAAUCCCCGGGCUUAACCUGGGAACUGCAUUUGAAACUGGCAGGCUAGAGUCUUGUAGAGGGGGGUAGAAUUCCAGGUGUAGCGGUGAAAUGCGUAGAGAUCUGGAGGAAUACCGGUGGCGAAGGCGGCCCCCUGGACAAAGACUGACGCUCAGGUGCGAAAGCGUGGGGAGCAAACAGGAUUAGAUACCCCUGUAGUCCCUGUCUCUUAUACA
This 301-nucleotide ribosomal RNA is filed under the name uncultured bacterium. Its description in RNAcentral is "partial 16S ribosomal RNA". It matches the Rfam family "Bacterial small subunit ribosomal RNA", at positions 512 to 808 of the family's 1533-position model. The record is from RNAcentral.